Molecule: long non-coding RNA, 3098 nt
Organism: Felis catus (domestic cat)
Lineage: Eukaryota; Metazoa; Chordata; Mammalia; Carnivora; Felidae
Exons: 6
Source: RefSeq, a predicted model, not a curated record
CCUGAGAUCAUGACCUGAGCUGAAGUCAGAAGCCCAACCUACUGAACCACCCAGGGUUAUGUAAAGAAGGACUGAAAAGGCAACUGGAUCUACUCAACAGAAAAUUUAAAAUCACAAAACAAGCAGGUGCACAGAUGAAGGGACCCAGCUGUGUGCCUAUGUGUGGAAUACUCCUGGGUAGCAGGAACAUGUCAGGAGUAGCAAAUGGCAUGGUAUGACCUGAAUCAACAGAGAAGGUAUCAAAGAACAGGUGAAGGACUAAGGAAAUGGAAGAGGUAAAAGGGGGAGAAGAGAGAAGAUGCAGUAGGUUCUCAGCUCACUUCCUGCUUACAUGCCUGGAAAAUUUCAGCUUCCCAAGGCACAGCUUCCCAAACAGGGUGGAUUUCAGGUCUCUGUGAAAGUGUUUCUGAAUCUUCCAAUCAGAGAUGUCUUCUGACUUCUUCGCAAAAUUCUCUGCAUCAAGAAAAUCCUAUGAACCUGGCUACCUUCUGGGAAUGGUAUGGGAAGGGGAAAAUAUAAAAAAUAAAAAUUAAUUAAUAUUUUGGGGGGAAAAAAUCCUUCCACAAAAAGGCUAAAAGAAUAGCUGUGAGAUGUGAACCUUUAUAAAAAAUAAAGGACAUGGUUGUAUCAGGAUUGUAGUCAGCUGUUCAACAGCAUUGACUCAAGAGGCCAGACAACUCUAGUGAUAGGAAACAGGAGGAAAUAAGUACUAGCAGGUGAGCUACUGGGGAUUUGGCAACUAGCAAUAGCUAGACAUGUCAACAAGAAGAGAAGAAGCAUCAGGAAGGCUUAGCAGAAGGUGGAGGGCAUUGGGAGUCAGGUUAGGACACUGGCCUUCAGGAGGACUGCUGGGAUCCAGGUAAGACCACAGCUCUGGAGGGACGGGCAUCAGGUCAGGCAUCACAACAGAGUGUUCAACAAGGAAAAAAACAUGAUAAGGACCUAAUCAGCAGAAAGGGAUUCAAAGGUUAACCAUGUCCAGAAGCAAGGCUGACCUCGUGCUGAGUUGCUGAGUUACUGAGCUACUUGAUUAUGUUUCCAAAAUCCUCUAAUAGGAGAGAGGAAGAUUGGUCCCCAAGCUGGGGGUGGGACUAAACUCCAGCCUACCGCAGAAAUCUGAGUUGCCCAAGGGAUGGAAGAGAAGAGUGAGUCAGGCAAGCUAUUAAACCAGGAUUUUGAUGCACAGUGUUUGAAAAGGACACUGGCAUAAAAAUUAGUUUUCACACACUUCUCUACACAUGGAUACCGUCAACGCUUGACUUUGAGCAUAUUGGCCAAAAUAAAAAUGGCCUGCUUUGUAAAACUCACCAUUUAUACUUCCUCCUCAAAAGCUCAGUUGCCACAAUCCAAGGUAGAGCAUGUCUCAUAUGUUGAAAAAUAUAGUGACAAUAUUGUUCGUAUAAUGACUGUGAGUGAAGUCUUAAGAACGAAUAGCACAUUUUCUGGGAGGAUUAGCAAGCACGUCAUGGAUGAUUGCCAGUUUGUGAGCCAUUAGUCAGGAAACACUUGUGUUAGGGUAACUCUAAGACUUUCAGCUGGGCAACAACCAUAAUUGUUUCAGUGAAAGCAUUUGGAUGCUAUUCAGUGACUUCACAAGCAAACAGAUCCAAUCUCUUUCCACUUUAAUCUGUACCACAUUCUGCAACCACAAAAAGUUUUCUUAAACUAUUAGUUAAAUACAUUCUUCCUCUUGCUUGAAAGCUUCCAGUAGAUCCUUAAUAUGCUUCAUGUCAAGUCCAAAGCCUUCCUGUCAAAGAUCUCCACAACUUGAAAUCACUCCACCAAUUCAGUCUUCUGUCGCUGCUCCCAGCAGUCUUUGCCUUACUCUCUUCUCAGAAAAUGUCAGGCUAAUCAUUCAAAUCUGCUUCUGUUCGUGCUAUUCAAGAAACUGGAGUACACUCCUUCUGUCUUGUUUGGAUAUCCAGCUCCUGCCAUUUUUAAAGAUCAAGCUCUUGUUUCACUUUCUCCAUGAGACCCUUUUCAAGAACUUUCCCCCUCUUUCUACUCUCAGUAUUGCAGAAACAAAUGGUUCAUCUACCUAGCAUCCACUCUCUCUUUCUUUUUCUUUAAUAGAACCCCAAUUUUGUUCUGAGAAGUUCUUUUGGAGCAAGUGAUAAUAUUCUUGCCAGUGAGACAGAAAAGAAUUUCUAGAAAUUGCUUUUGUGAUACAGACAUGGCACCACCUUUUCCUCCUAAGUGCUUCUUGUAUCUUUUUCCUCCUGCUUUAUUGAGAUACAACUGAUAUAUCACAUCGUGUAAGUAAGGUGUACAAUGUGAUGAUUACAUGUAUAUUGCAAAAUGAUUACCCCAACAAGGUUACUUAACACAUCCAUUACCUCACGUAAUUUUUAUUUUUUUUUGUGUGUAGUGAGAACAGAUAAAAUCUACUUUCUUAGCAACUUUCAAGUAUACAAUACAAUAAUCAACCUAUAAUCACCAGGCUGUAAAUCCCCAGAGCUUAUUCAUUUUAUAACUGAAAGUCUGUUUAUUUGAUGAACAUCUCCCCAUUUCCCCAUCCCAGCCACAAAUCCCCAUCCCAGCCACAAAUCCAUUCUCUGUUUCUGUGUGUUUGGCUUUUUUAGAUUCUAUAUGUAAAUGAUAUCAUAUAGUAUAUUUCUUUCUGAUUUAUUUCACUUAAGAUAAUGUCCAAGUUUCAUCGAUGUUGUUGCAAAUGACAGGAUUUACUUCUUUCUCAUGGCUGAAUAAUAUUCCAUUGCAUAUAUACAUGCACAUCACAUUUUCUUUAUUCAUUCAUCUGCUAAUGGAGAGACACUUAGGUUGAUUCCAUGUCUUAGCUAUUGUGAGUAAUGUGUUAAUGUAUAUUGAAGAGCAUAUAUAUCUUCAAGAUAGAUUCUUCUACCCAGGAGUAGAAUUGCUGGAUCAAAUGGUAGUUAUAUUUUUAACUAUUUGAGGAAACUCCAUACUGUUUUCUGUAAUGACUGCACCGAUUUACAUCCCUAUCAACAACAGUGCACUGGAGUUCCCCUUACCUCACACCCUUGCCUAUACUUAUGUCUUUUUCAUAAUAGCCAUCCUGACAUGGGUAAAGUGCUAUCUAAUUGUGGUUUUGAUUUGCAUUUCCCUGAUGAUUAGCGACA